RNAcentral lists this transfer RNA (65 nucleotides) under Mezira sp. RNAcentral's name for it is "tRNA-Leu". Lineage: Eukaryota; Metazoa; Arthropoda; Insecta; Hemiptera; Aradidae. The record is from RNAcentral.
UCUAAUAUGGCAGACUAGUGCAAUGAACUUAAGCUUCAUAAAUGAAGAUAAAUCUUUUAUUAGAA